Small nuclear RNA from Myotis myotis, 106 nucleotides. The record is from RefSeq and is a predicted model, not a curated record. NCBI's taxonomy places the organism in Eukaryota, Metazoa, Chordata, Mammalia, Chiroptera, Vespertilionidae.
GAGCUCGCUUCGCAGCACAUAUACUAAAAUCGGAAGGAUACAGAGGAGGUUAGCAUGGCCCCGCGUACGGAUGACCCGAAAAAACACACCAAAAAGCCAGAAAGCA